GCCAUCUUAGCUCAGUUGGUAGAGCAACGGUUUCGUAAACCGUAGGUCACCGGUUCAAAUCCGGUAGAUGGCU
This 73-nucleotide transfer RNA is filed under the name Myxococcales bacterium. Its description in RNAcentral is "tRNA-Thr". It matches the Rfam family "tRNA". Rfam says of the family: Transfer RNA (tRNA) molecules are approximately 80 nucleotides in length. Their secondary structure includes four short double-helical elements and three loops (D, anti-codon, and T loops). Further hydrogen bonds mediate the characteristic L-shaped molecular structure. tRNAs have two regions of fundamental functional importance: the anti-codon, which is responsible for specific mRNA codon recognition, and the 3' end, to which the tRNAs corresponding amino acid is attached (by aminoacyl-tRNA synthetases). tRNAs cope with the degeneracy of the genetic code in two manners: having more than one tRNA (with a specific anti-codon) for a particular amino acid; and 'wobble' base-pairing, i.e. permitting non-standard base-pairing at the 3rd anti-codon position. Lineage: Bacteria; Pseudomonadati; Myxococcota; Myxococcia; Myxococcales. The record is from RNAcentral.